Molecule: small nuclear RNA, 117 nt
Organism: Dicentrarchus labrax (European seabass)
Lineage: Eukaryota; Metazoa; Chordata; Actinopteri; Moronidae
Gene: U5
Rfam family: U5 spliceosomal RNA
About the family: U5 RNA is a component of both types of known spliceosome. The precise function of this molecule is unknown, though it is known that the 5' loop is required for splice site selection and p220 binding, and that both the 3' stem-loop and the Sm site are important for Sm protein binding and cap methylation.
Source: Ensembl
UUUCUCGGGUUUCUCGUCAUUAUGCCCAAGUCUUUUGCCUUUUACUACAGACUUCCGUGUAGAGGGAAACCAUUGAGUUAAAUCUGCUUUUGGCAAGCUCUGCCAUUUGGCUGAGCU